CGAACAACUGCGAAAGCAUUUGC
This 23-nucleotide non-coding RNA is filed under the name Arabidopsis thaliana (thale cress). Lineage: Eukaryota; Viridiplantae; Streptophyta; Magnoliopsida; Brassicales; Brassicaceae. The record is from RNAcentral.